RNAcentral lists this ribosomal RNA (483 nucleotides) under Typhlatya consobrina. RNAcentral describes it as "partial 16S ribosomal RNA". It matches the Rfam family "Bacterial large subunit ribosomal RNA", at positions 1843 to 2582 of the family's 2925-position model. Lineage: Eukaryota; Metazoa; Arthropoda; Malacostraca; Decapoda; Atyidae. The record is from RNAcentral.
UUUUUUAGUCUGGCCUGCCCACUGAAGUUGUUAAAGGGCCGCGGUAUUUGGACCGUGCUAAGGUAGCAUAAUCAAUAGUCUCUUAAUUAGAGUCUGGAAUGAAUGGUUGGAUGAAAUACAAUUUGUCUUCAAAUAUAAUGUUGAAUUUUACUUUUAAGUGUAAAGGCUUAAAUUAAGUAAAGGGACGAUAAGACCCUGUGAAGCUUUACUUUUGUUGAGUGUUAAUGUUUGAUAAUUAUGUGCUUAGGCUUAUAGUCAACAAAAGUUGGGUUGGGGCGACUGGAAUAUAAUUUUAACUGUUUUGGUUAGUAAAAUAAGUGAUUUUUAGUUGGUUGAUCUUAUAAUAUAGAUUAAAAAAUUUGAGUUACUCCAGGGAUAACAGCGUAAUUCUUUUUGAGAGUUCUUAUCGACAAAAGUAUUUGCGACCUCGAUGUUGAAUUAAGAUUUCGUCAAGGUGUAGAAGUUUUGAUUGUGGGUCUGUUC